This 699-nucleotide ribosomal RNA is filed under the name uncultured bacterium. RNAcentral's name for it is "bacterial SSU rRNA". It matches the Rfam family "Bacterial small subunit ribosomal RNA", at positions 102 to 808 of the family's 1533-position model. The record is from RNAcentral.
ACGGGUGAGUAACACGUGGGUGAUCUGCCCCGCACUGUGGGAUAAGCCUGGGAAACUGGGUCUAAUACCACAUACGACCACACUGUAGACAGUGUGGUGGAAAGCUUUUGCGGUGUGGGAUGAGCCCGCGGCCUAUCAGCUUGUUGGUGGGGUAAUGGCCUACCAAGGCGGCGACGGGUAGCCGGCCUGAGAGGGUGGACGGCCACAUUGGGACUGAGACACGGCCCAGACUCCUACGGGAGGCAGCAGUGGGGAAUAUUGCACAAUGGGCGCAAGCCUGAUGCAGCGACGCCGCGUGGGGGAUGACGGCCUUCGGGUUGUAAACUCCUUUCGCCCGGGACGAAGCCCACCUGGUGGGUGACGGUACCGUGGAGAAGAAGCACCGGCUAACUACGUGCCAGCAGCCGCAGUAAUACGUAGGGUGCAAGCGUUGUCCGGAUUUACUGGGCGUAAAGGGCUCGUAGGUGGUGUGUCGCGUCGUCUGUGAAAUUCCGGGGCUUAACUCCGGGCGUGCAGGCGAUACGGGCACGACUAGAGUGCUGUAGGGGUAACUGGAAUUCCUGGUGUAGCGGUGAAAUGCGCAGAUAUCACGAGGAACACCGAUGGCGAAAGCAGGUUACUGGGCAGUUACUGACGCUGAGGAGCGAAAGCAUGGGGAGCGAACAGGAUUAGAUACCCUGGUAGUCCAUGCUGUAAACG